Molecule: long non-coding RNA, 654 nt
Organism: Sarcophilus harrisii (Tasmanian devil)
Lineage: Eukaryota; Metazoa; Chordata; Mammalia; Dasyuromorphia; Dasyuridae
Exons: 4
Source: RefSeq, a predicted model, not a curated record
UUUUGAGCAUCUCAUGAAAGACCUUUAUGAAGUCAUGCACUCUAUAAAUGGUUAAGCAUGAGGGAAACAAACCAGUGGAAGUAAAGACCUAGCAGUUAAAUCUUAGGGAGUCCCUUAUGCAUGCUGAUAUGGAGUAAUCCAAUCAUGGUCAAUAUAGCUAGAGGUAUAAAGAUCACUUUCCAAGUGCCAGAGGGCUGAUGGAGGAAUGAAUGUCCUACACAGGGGAGCAUGUGGCAGCCUAGGCAAGCCUUUUGCUGGGUAAGCAGACAACAAACAGAGGAUACCCAACUAUGCACUGAAUUGGAGAAUCUGAAGUGAAGUGACUCCUUCACUCCAAAUCAUUGAGUAUUUCCAGAAGCAGGUUCACCAAACAUCAAUUAUUGGCCUGUUUACCUUUACAGAAGUAUGUUAUCUCCCUCUCUAGAAUACAUUCAAUAAAAUCCUUCAACAAGGCUUGAUGAGUCAGUUUGAGCUGGAUUUAAUAUACUGGAAGAACAUUUCCAGAUUUUUCCAUUCCUCUGAAACCCAAGCAUGGCUUUCUUUGACAAAUUUGCAAAAGCCUGAACUUUGAAUUGGGAAUAUCCUUAAUAUAAAAUUGAGAUAUUUUCUCCCAGAGCCUUGAUCACAUAUUAAAGCUUCCACAUAUCUGUUUCA